CAGGGGUGUGUGUGUGUGUGUAGAUGUACAUGUGUGUAAUGUGUAUAUAUAUAUAGAUACUCAAAC
Molecule: microRNA precursor, 66 nt
Filed under: Loxodonta africana (African savanna elephant)
Lineage: Eukaryota; Metazoa; Chordata; Mammalia; Proboscidea; Elephantidae
Description: miRNA (ENSLAFG00000025602.1)
Source: RNAcentral